Molecule: ribosomal RNA, 330 nt
Filed under: uncultured eukaryote
Lineage: Eukaryota
Description: partial 18S ribosomal RNA
Rfam family: Eukaryotic small subunit ribosomal RNA
Source: RNAcentral
CCCUUAGAUGUUCUGGGCCGCACGCGUGCUACACUGAUGCAUUCAACGAGUCUAAAACCUGGUCUGAUAGGGCUGGGUAAUCUUUUGAAAGUGCAUCGUGAUUGGGAUAGAUGAUUGCAAUUCUUCAUCUUCAACGAGGAAUGCCUAGUAAACGCAAGUCAUCAGCUUGCAUUGAUUACGUCCCUGCCCUUCGUACACACCGCCCGUCGCUCCUACCGAUUGAAUGAUCCGAUGAAUACCAUGGAUUGAGAGUACGAAUAGGUUCGCUUAUUUCUGCUGCUCGAGAAGUGGAGUAAAUCUUAUCAUUUAGAGGAAGGAGAAGUCGUAACA